This 1484-nucleotide ribosomal RNA is filed under the name uncultured bacterium. RNAcentral's name for it is "16S ribosomal RNA". It matches the Rfam family "Bacterial small subunit ribosomal RNA". The record is from RNAcentral.
AGAGUUUGAUCCUGGCUCAGGAUGAACGCUAGCGGCAGGCCUAACACAUGCAAGUCGAGGGGCAACACGAAUAGCAAUAUUUGGUGGCGACCGGCGCACGGGUGCGUAACGCGUAUGCAACCUACCUUUAACUGGAGCAUAGCCCCGAGAGAUCGGGAUUAAUACUCCAUAACAACAUAGGGCCGCAUGGUCCGGAGGGUAAAGCUUCGGCGGGAAUGGAUGGGCAUGCGUGCCAUUAGCUGGCUGGCGGGGUAACGGCCCACCAGGGCUACGAUGGCUAGGGGUUCUGAGAGGAUGAUCCCCCACACUGGUACUGAGACACGGACCAGACUCCUACGGGAGGCAGCAGUGAGGAAUAUUGGUCAAUGGCCGGAAGGCUGAACCAGCCAUCCCGCGUGCAGGAUGACGGCCCUAUGGGUUGUAAACUGCUUUUGUACACCAAGAUCCCGUAAAUAAUGGGAAGGAAUGACGGUAGUGUAUGAAUAAGCAUCGGCUAACUCCGUGCCAGCAGCCGCGGUAAUACGGAGGAUGCAAGCGUUAUCCGGAUUCAUUGGGUUUAAAGGGUGCGCAGGUGGGAAAAUAAGUCAGUGGUGAAAUACUGCCGCUUAACGGUAGAAUUGCCAUUGAUACUGAAAAGCUUGAGUACAUUUGAGGUAAGCGGAAUGUGUAGUGUAGCGGUGAAAUGCUUAGAUAUUACACAGAACACCAAUUGCGAAGGCAGCUUACUAAACUGAUACUGACGCUGAUGCACGAAAGCGUGGGGAGCGAACAGGAUUAGAUACCCUGGUAGUCCACGCCGUAAACGAUGCUCACUCGCUGUUUGCGAUACACAGCAAGCGGCCAAGCGAAAGCAUUAAGUGAGCCACCUGGGGAGUACGAUCGCAAGGUUGAAACUCAAAGGAAUUGACGGGGGCCCGCACAAGCGGUGGAGCAUGUGGUUUAAUUCGACGCAACGCGAAGAACCUUACCAGGGCUUAAAUGCUUAAUGACGUACUGGGAAACCGGUAUUUCUCUCGGGACGGACUGCAAGGUGCUGCAUGGUUGUCGUCAGCUCGUGCCGUGAGGUGUCGGGUUAAGUCCCAUAACGAGCGCAACCCUUAUCGUUAGUUGCCAGCGGGUCAAGCCGGGGACUCUAGCGAGACUGCCACCGUAAGGUGUGAGGAAGGUGGGGAUGACGUCAAAUCAGCACGGCCCUUAUGUCCAGGGCUACACACGUGUUACAAUGGCCGAUACAAAGGGCAGCUACUCCGCGAGGAGAUGCUAAUCUCUAAAGUCGGUCCCAGUUCGGAUCGGAGUCUGCAACCCGACUCCGUGAAGUUGGAUUCGCUAGUAAUCGCGCAUCAGCCAUGGCGCGGUGAAUACGUUCCCGGGCCUUGUACACACCGCCCGUCAAACCAUGGAAGCUGGGGGUGCCUGAAGUCUGUAACCGCAAGGAGCGGCCUAGGGUAAAACUAGUAACUGGGGUUAAGUCGUAACAAGGUAAC